AGCAAAAUAUGAGGAGAUGGCAAAGGGGUGGCCUGAGAAGAUAAAGCACGCACUUCAUGAGGAACAUGAGUUAAUACCUUCUCGUCGAACGUUUUAUAAUUGUGAUGGUUGUGGUGAAGAAGGAAAUAUCUGGUCCUUCUACUGCGAAGAGUGUGACUUUGAUCUUCAUCCAAAAUGUGCUCUGAAAGAAGGUGAGGAAACUAAAGAUGAUGGAAAGGAGGGUGAAAAGGAUGAAGCAAAACCUGGAGAAGGAUGGGACUGUGAUGGGGAGGUCUGUUACAAAGCCUGAGAAAU
This 294-nucleotide unclassified non-coding RNA is filed under the name Hevea brasiliensis (rubber tree). The record is from RNAcentral. Lineage: Eukaryota; Viridiplantae; Streptophyta; Magnoliopsida; Malpighiales; Euphorbiaceae.